Molecule: ribosomal RNA, 572 nt
Filed under: bacterium enrichment culture clone PF-2_12
Lineage: Bacteria
Description: bacterial SSU rRNA
Rfam family: Bacterial small subunit ribosomal RNA
Source: RNAcentral
UAGAGUUUGAUCCUGGCUCAGAUUGAACGCUGGCGGCAUGCCUAACACAUGCAAGUCGAACGGCAGCACAGGUAGCAAUACCGGGUGGCGAGUGGCGGACGGNNGAGGAAUACAUCGGGACCUGCCCAGACGUGGGGGAUAACGUAGGGAAACUUACGCUAAUACCGCAUACGUCCUACGGGAGAAAGCGGGGGAUCUUCGGACCUCGCGCGGUUGGAUGGACCGAUGUUCGAUUAGCUAGUUGGUGAGGUAAUGGCUCACCAAGGCGACGAUCGAUAGCUGGUCUGAGAGGAUGAUCAGCCACACUGGGACUGAGACACGGCCCAGACUCCUACGGGAGGCAGCAGUGGGGAAUAUUGGACAAUGGGCGCAAGCCUGAUCCAGCAAUGCCGCGUGUGUGAAGAAGGCCUUCGGGUUGUAAAGCACUUUUAUCAGGAGCGAAAUACUACGGGUUAAUACCUCGUGGGGCUGACGGUACCUGAGGAAUAAGCACCGGCUAACUUCGUGCCAGCAGCCGCGGUAAUACGAAGGGUGCAAGCGUUAAUCGGAAUUACUGGGCGUAAAGCGUGCGU